This 70-nucleotide transfer RNA is filed under the name Phaner pallescens. RNAcentral describes it as "tRNA-Ser". It matches the Rfam family "tRNA". From Rfam's summary of the family: Transfer RNA (tRNA) molecules are approximately 80 nucleotides in length. Their secondary structure includes four short double-helical elements and three loops (D, anti-codon, and T loops). Lineage: Eukaryota; Metazoa; Chordata; Mammalia; Primates; Cheirogaleidae. The record is from RNAcentral. RNAcentral also lists the same sequence under 2 other names.
AAAGAGAGUCAUAGGGGUUAUGUGGUUGGCUUGAAACCGACUGUAGGAGGUUCAAUUCCUUCCUUUCUUG